GCUAGUAAUCGCGAAUCAGAAUGUCGCGGUGAAUACGUUCCCGGGUCUUGUACACACCGCCCGUCACACCAUGGGAGUCAGUAACGCCCGAAGUCAGUGACCCAACCUUUUAGGAGGGAGCUGCCGAAGGUGGGACCGAUAACUGGGGUGAAGUCGUAACAAGGUACC
This 168-nucleotide ribosomal RNA is filed under the name uncultured bacterium. Its description in RNAcentral is "partial 16S ribosomal RNA". It matches the Rfam family "Bacterial small subunit ribosomal RNA", at positions 1334 to 1500 of the family's 1533-position model. The record is from RNAcentral.